CUAAUUGGGCUUGGGACGCAAGCUCAGGUUUGAUCAUCCUGUAGCUGGCCGCCUCUGGAGAGGGUGUAUAGUGUUAAGGGCCGAAACACCCUAUGACCCAGAGGAACACUACUGAUGAUGCGUACCCGUAAAUUCAUUUCCUCUUCAAGACUAGGCUUUG
This is a long non-coding RNA of Thalassophryne amazonica, 160 nucleotides long. RefSeq lists it as uncharacterized. The record is from RefSeq and is a predicted model, not a curated record. NCBI's taxonomy places the organism in Eukaryota, Metazoa, Chordata, Actinopteri, Batrachoidiformes, Batrachoididae. The transcript has 3 exons.